GCUCCGGUGGCUUAGUCGUUAGAACGUCCACUUCGUAUGCGGGAGGUUGCGCGUUCAAACCCCGACCGAGUCA
This is a non-coding RNA of Potamilus streckersoni, 73 nucleotides long. The record is from the annotation of a GenBank genome assembly. NCBI's taxonomy places the organism in Eukaryota, Metazoa, Mollusca, Bivalvia, Unionida, Unionidae.